UGGUAUUUUUGGUUUUCUAAGGUAUAUUA
This 29-nucleotide non-coding RNA is filed under the name Mus musculus (house mouse). Lineage: Eukaryota; Metazoa; Chordata; Mammalia; Rodentia; Muridae. The record is from RNAcentral.